This 429-nucleotide long non-coding RNA is filed under the name Fukomys damarensis (Damara mole-rat). RNAcentral's name for it is "lncRNA (ENSFDAG00000031096.1)". Lineage: Eukaryota; Metazoa; Chordata; Mammalia; Rodentia; Bathyergidae. The record is from RNAcentral.
GCUCACAGUGAUAACUGAGACGAUCCCUCACCUUUUCACUCAAGAGUUCAGGCUUCGCACACCCUGAUGAAUUAUUGAACUUGCAAAUUCAUCCUCCUGAAUACAGAACAGUGACAUCACAGAGCUUCAUCUGGAUGGAAUGCUAUGCCACUUGUUAGCUAACUCCAAGCAAAGUGACAGGGGUCAUUAGACUCUGGAAGGAGACAGCAUGAUGCAGAGAGAGUAUGGGGCUACAUUUUUUGCAUGAGCUCAGAUAUUGACUUCAAAUCUGAUCUCAGGACAAGCAGAGCCUUGCAGACACCUGUGAUGAGAGCCCUCCCUCUGACAGUGGCCCGGAGAGGCCUUGCUCCUAGGAAAGGAGGACAAAUCCCGGAGCUGGCUUUGCCGUGGACCCCUGACUUCUCUGGAGCUGCGCUCAAGAUUGAGCUA